GAGCGAAUCGCCCAAUUGGUAGGGCAAUUAUUUUGGGAAUAAUGUGUUCUGAGUUCGAUCCUCAGUUUGUUCA
This 73-nucleotide transfer RNA is filed under the name Crassvirales sp. RNAcentral's name for it is "tRNA-Pro". It matches the Rfam family "tRNA". From Rfam's summary of the family: Transfer RNA (tRNA) molecules are approximately 80 nucleotides in length. Their secondary structure includes four short double-helical elements and three loops (D, anti-codon, and T loops). The record is from RNAcentral. Lineage: Duplodnaviria; Heunggongvirae; Uroviricota; Caudoviricetes; Crassvirales.